This 468-nucleotide ribosomal RNA is filed under the name uncultured bacterium. RNAcentral's name for it is "partial 16S ribosomal RNA". It matches the Rfam family "Bacterial small subunit ribosomal RNA", at positions 28 to 507 of the family's 1533-position model. The record is from RNAcentral.
GACGAACGCUGGCGGCGUGCUUAACACAUGCCAGUCGAACGGAAAGGCCCUGCUUUUGUGGGGUGCUCGAGUGGCGAACGGGUGAGUAACACGUGAGUAACCUGCCCUCGACUUUGGGAUAACUUCAGGAAACUGGGGCUAAUACCGGAUAGGAGCUCCUGCUGCAUGGUGGGGGUUGGAAAGUUUCGGCGGUUGGGGAUGGACUCGCGGCUUAUCAGCUUGUUGGUGGGGUAGUGGCUUACCAAGGCUUUGACGGGUAGCCGGCCUGAGAGGGUGACCGGCCACAUUGGGACUGAGAUACGGCCCAGACUCCUACGGGAGGCAGCAGUGGGGAAUAUUGCACAAUGGGCGGAAGCCUGUUGCAGCAACGCCGCGUGCGGGAUGACGGCCUUCGGGUUGUAAACCGCUUUCGCCUGUGACGAAGCGUGAGUGACGGUAAUGGGUAAAGAAGCACCGGCUAACUACGUG